AUUGAACGCUGGCGGCAUGCUUUACACAUGCAAGUCGAACGGCAGCGCGGGCUUCGGCCUGGCGGCGAGUGGCGAACGGGUGAGUAAUACAUCGGAACGUGCCCAGUAGUGGGGGAUAGCUCGGCGAAAGCCGGAUUAAUACCGCAUACGACCUGAGGGGGAAAGCGGGGGAUCUUCGGACCUCGCGCUAUUGGAGCGGCCGAUGGCAGAUUAGCUAGUUGGUGGGGUAAAGGCCUACCAAGGCGACGAUCUGUAGCUGGUCUGAGAGGACGACCAGCCACACUGGGACUGAGACACGGCCCAGACUCCUACGGGAGGCAGCAGUGGGGAAUUUUGGACAAUGGGCGAAAGCCUGAUCCAGCAAUGCCGCGUGUGUGAUGAAGGCCUUCGGGUUGUAAAGCACUUUUGGAGGGAACGAAAAGGACUGUGCCAAUACCACGGUUCGAUGACGGUACCCGCAGAAUAAGCACCGGCUAACUACGUG
RNAcentral lists this ribosomal RNA (484 nucleotides) under uncultured bacterium. RNAcentral describes it as "partial 16S ribosomal RNA". It matches the Rfam family "Bacterial small subunit ribosomal RNA", at positions 29 to 507 of the family's 1533-position model. The record is from RNAcentral.